CGGGAAUUUUGAGACGCUACACCGGCAACAGAAUCUUGAGAGUUUUCACGAAGAAAAUGUAAAUGACAGCUAUUUUUGAUGUAAUGGUCAGUCCAGUUGAGACUAUUGUGCGACACGCCUGGUUAACUGAAGGAUUUCUCAUAUAGGGUAUUACGUGUUUGGUAGUGGUGUUUCUACUUGAGACGAGUUUGAUCAUCUUGUCUUCAGUGAAGAAAAGCAGAGUGGUAUAUUAUCAA
Mercenaria mercenaria is the source of this 236-nucleotide long non-coding RNA. RefSeq lists it as uncharacterized. The record is from RefSeq and is a predicted model, not a curated record. Lineage: Eukaryota; Metazoa; Mollusca; Bivalvia; Venerida; Veneridae. The transcript is spliced from 3 exons.